RNAcentral lists this ribosomal RNA (253 nucleotides) under uncultured bacterium. RNAcentral describes it as "partial 16S ribosomal RNA". It matches the Rfam family "Bacterial small subunit ribosomal RNA", at positions 524 to 776 of the family's 1533-position model. The record is from RNAcentral.
UACGUAGGGGGCGAGCGUUGUCCGGAUUUAUUGGGCGUAAAGAGCGUGUAGGCGGCCAGGUAGGUCUGCUGUGAAAACUCGAGGCUCAACCUCGAGACGUCGGCGGAAACCAUCUGGCUAGAGUCCGGAAGAGGAGAGUGGAAUUCCUGGUGUAGCGGUGAAAUGCGCAGAUAUCAGGAAGAACACCCGUGGCGAAGGCGGCUCUCUGGGACGGUACUGACGCUAAGGCGCGAAAGCGUGGGGAGCGAACAGG